This 789-nucleotide ribosomal RNA is filed under the name Priestia megaterium. RNAcentral's name for it is "bacterial SSU rRNA". It matches the Rfam family "Bacterial small subunit ribosomal RNA", at positions 28 to 799 of the family's 1533-position model. The record is from RNAcentral. Lineage: Bacteria; Bacillati; Bacillota; Bacilli; Caryophanales; Bacillaceae.
GGGGAAAGGGGGGGGUGGCCCAAUAAUGCAAGUCGAGCGAACUGAUUAGAAGCUUGCUUCUAUGACGUUAGCGGCGGACGGGUGAGUAACACGUGGGCAACCUGCCUGUAAGACUGGGAUAACUUCGGGAAACCGAAGCUAAUACCGGAUAGGAUCUUCUCCUUCAUGGGAGAUGAUUGAAAGAUGGUUUCGGCUAUCACUUACAGAUGGGCCCGCGGUGCAUUAGCUAGUUGGUGAGGUAACGGCUCACCAAGGCAACGAUGCAUAGCCGACCUGAGAGGGUGAUCGGCCACACUGGGACUGAGACACGGCCCAGACUCCUACGGGAGGCAGCAGUAGGGAAUCUUCCGCAAUGGACGAAAGUCUGACGGAGCAACGCCGCGUGAGUGAUGAAGGCUUUCGGGUCGUAAAACUCUGUUGUUAGGGAAGAACAAGUACGAGAGUAACUGCUCGUACCUUGACGGUACCUAACCAGAAAGCCACGGCUAACUACGUGCCAGCAGCCGCGGUAAUACGUAGGUGGCAAGCGUUAUCCGGAAUUAUUGGGCGUAAAGCGCGCGCAGGCGGUUUCUUAAGUCUGAUGUGAAAGCCCACGGCUCAACCGUGGAGGGUCAUUGGAAACUGGGGAACUUGAGUGCAGAAGAGAAAAGCGGAAUUCCACGUGUAGCGGUGAAAUGCGUAGAGAUGUGGAGGAACACCAGUGGCGAAGGCGGCUUUUUGGUCUGUAACUGACGCUGAGGCGCGAAAGCGUGGGGAGCAAACAGGAUUAGAUACCCUUGGUAGUCCAAA